UUGAUUUCCUUCGGGACUGAUUAUUUUGUGACUGAGUGGCGGACGGGUGAGUAACGCGUGGGUAACCUGCCUUGUACAGGGGGAUAACAGUUGGAAACGGCUGCUAAUACCGCAUAAGCGCACAACAUCGCAUGAUGCAGUGUGAAAAACUCCGGUGGUAUAAGAUGGACCCGCGUUGGAUUAGCUAGUUGGUGAGGUAACGGCCCACCAAGGCGACGAUCCAUAGCCGACCUGAGAGGGUGACCGGCCACAUUGGGACUGAGACACGGCCCAAACUCCUACGUGAGGCAGCAGUGGGGAAUAUUGCACAAUGGGCGAAAGCCUGAUGCAGCGACGCCGCGUGAGCGAAGAAGUAUUUCGGUAUGUAAAGCUCUAUCAGCAGGGAAGAUAAUGACGGUACCUGACUAAGAAGCACCGGCUAAAUACGUGCCAGCAGCCGCGGUAAUACGUAUGGUGCAAGCGUUAUCCGGAUUUACUGGGUGUAAAGGGAGCGCAGGCGGUGCGGCAAGUCUGAUGUGAAAGCCCGGGGCUCAACCCCGGUACUGCAUUGGAAACUGUCGUACUAGAGUGUCGGAGGGGUAAGCGGAAUUCCUAGUGUAGCGGUGAAAUGCGUAGAUAUUAGGAGGAACACCAGUGGCGAAGGCGGCUUACUGGA
This 655-nucleotide ribosomal RNA is filed under the name uncultured bacterium. RNAcentral's name for it is "bacterial SSU rRNA". It matches the Rfam family "Bacterial small subunit ribosomal RNA", at positions 68 to 733 of the family's 1533-position model. The record is from RNAcentral.